CCGCCACUGACUCAUCCGGAAAGAGCAGCAGCCUUCGAAGCUGGCUGCGUGGGGUUCGAGUCCUUGAUGGCGGUCCA
This 77-nucleotide transfer RNA is filed under the name Salmonella enterica. RNAcentral's name for it is "tRNA-Arg". The record is from RNAcentral. Lineage: Bacteria; Pseudomonadati; Pseudomonadota; Gammaproteobacteria; Enterobacterales; Enterobacteriaceae.